CCCUUAGAUGUUCUGGGCCGCACGCGUGCUACACUGAGUGGAUCAGCGGGUCAGGUUGCGCGAAAGCGUUUCCCUAAUCUUUAAAUCCGCUCGUGAUGGGGAUUGACGGUUGCAAUUUUCUGUCAUGAACGAGGAAUACCUUGUAAGCGCGGGUCAUCAUCCCGCGCUGAAUACGUCCCUGCCCUUUGUACACACCGCCCGUCGCUCCUACCGAUUGAGUGGUCCGGUGAGGCUUUGGGAUCUGAGCGGAAAGAGCGUUUCGCUGUUUCUGCUCGGAAAACUCAGUCGAACCUUAUCAUUUAGAGGAAGGAGAAGUCGUAACA
Molecule: ribosomal RNA, 323 nt
Filed under: uncultured eukaryote
Lineage: Eukaryota
Description: partial 18S ribosomal RNA
Rfam family: Eukaryotic small subunit ribosomal RNA
Source: RNAcentral